Molecule: long non-coding RNA, 2081 nt
Organism: Choloepus didactylus (southern two-toed sloth)
Lineage: Eukaryota; Metazoa; Chordata; Mammalia; Pilosa; Megalonychidae
Exons: 3
Source: RefSeq, a predicted model, not a curated record
UGGUCACUGUCAUUCCUUCAACUGUGCCUGGUAGCCAGGGAUCUCUCUGUCCAGAGACCCUCUUUUUUUUUUUUUUUAAACCCUCUCCAGAAAAUAAACCUCCAGUCUUCAAAGGGCUCCAGCAGCAGCCACCCAGCGGUCUGGAGAAGGAAAAGGGAUCCUCUGAAACACACAAAGGCUGCCACCUCAGCAAGGCAGGACUGCAUCCACCUGGAUCACCACUCUAACCCUGGCACCUGGAUCCUCCGUCAAUAUUCGUGAAUAAACGAAUAAAUUCAAAAUACAGAAAAGAAUACUUAGCACACUGCACUGCCACACUCUUGUUAACGUGCCUAUACCCUCUGCUACACACCAAGCAUGAUUAGAACACACACCUGGCCCAGGGAUCGCAGAAGCUGAAGGAGGAGAUGGGGAACCUGAAGGAGCCACAAGCCCAGCUGCUGCUCCAUGCCGACCAGGAGAGCCAACGUCAACGUGCAGCAGCUGCAACAGCGUGAUGCCCUGCACUAACUUCUGAGAAUUAAAAGAAUAUGGCUGCCAUCUCAUGCCUCAUUCCAAAUAUCAGGCAAAGCAUCUCCUGAGCCCAGGUCAACCCAGAACUAUGCAGGGAGAGGACUUCUUGGAAACAUAGCUCCAGCUUAGCAAAGUUGACACAAUGUAAAUCUGCUACACUGUCUCCCCUAGUUGCUUCACUGUUACAAGUUUACAAAUGAAGAUUUCUUGAAUUCCAUUGCCAACUGCUUCCCAUAAUUCUGAAGUAGGCAGGGGUGUAACUAGGUCAGCCAUCUUAUGUCUGUUUUUUCUGGGACCCCCCCCCAAAAGAAAAACUGCACUUUGAGUGGCUGUCCCUGCUGAAUUGACUCUCCUAAAGCAGUUCUAUGUGUCUUCCAGAACCGAAUAUGUUAGUUUGUUAUUUAGUCAGGAACAUGCCCUCACAGUGUUGCAAACAGGAAACUGAAUUACGAAAAUCUAGAGGGCUGUAAGGCACACCCAUCUUUUUCUACCCACUAGUUAUCCACCUUGUUCUAGCAUCUGCACUUCAGUUUUCCUCUGGGAAACAAGCCCUUCCUUCACUCUUAGUUUACAAGGUUAUGAGCUGCUCUCCCUGCCCUCCAUCAAGGAGUGCACUCACAAAGGAGGCUAAGCCAGUCAGUUCUCUGCAUUCCCUGGCUGCAGCGAUUGGUUCAGGGAUAGACACGUGAUCCUCCUUAGGCCAAUCCAAGCCAUCAAGACCCAGGUCAGAAUUAGGAUUUGGUUUAUGGGAGAAGACUCACUCGGGUCUUGAACCUGGAGAGGGGAGCCUAUCUGAGAAUUGAUCUAACACAGUGAAGGCAAAGAUAGGACAGGAAAUGAAAACAAAAACAAAAAAACAGGUCCUAGUGACAUCCUUGGAGCCCUUUGGCAUGUCCUGCCUGAAGCCAGCCUUUCCCAGGGCUUUUCAGUGACUAUUUCCCAACUCUGUCCUCCUGUGUGUGUUACCAGCCAGGCAUUCAAUAGUUCAACUUAAUUAACUUUUCUUGUGCAUGUAUUGCACAAUCUCCACCAAUAUUAGCAACAUUUACUGAAUGCCAGGUACUUUGUUGAGUGUUUUAUGUAGGAAACCUUAUUUAACCCUCACAACAUCCUUAUGAGGCAGAUGCUAUUAGUUAUCCUCCUUUUUUAAGGGAGGAGACUGAAACUUAGAGGUGUGAAGGUCAAGUGGAGGCCUAGGUCAUACAGGUGAGAAGCAAUCAAUACCCAGAUAGAGCUCUAAACAACACAGUCAUCAUUAUUAUGGCUAGCUCUCAGAAUCUUCAUUUAUUUGAUUCCAGAGCCUAUUCUCUUAACCAUCAGAAUGGCUCCUUUUCUGUGCAAAAUACCGUUAGACAUAAGGAGGUUGCAGAAAUUAAUAAUGUAUAUUUUCUGCCCCACAGGGAGGUUACCAUUUAGUGGAGGAAUUCUAUAUACCCAGAAAUAACUGUGGGGCAGCAAGUAAGGGAUACUUUUACCUCCACCUCCAUUCUGACCCUGGCUUCUGAGCAGUGGUCUCAAGAUCAUGGCAUCAUAGUUAACCUAAAUACGCAUUCACACAGAAGACUUAC